GAUGAGAACGUAGCGAAAUGCGAUAAGUAGUGUGAAUUGCAGAAUUCAGUGAAUCAUCGAAUCUUUGAACGCACAUUGCGCCCUUUGGUAUUCCUUAGGGCAUGCCUGUUCGAGCGUCAUUUAAACCUUCAAGCUCAGCUUGGUGUUGGGUGACUGUCCGCUUCACCGCGGACUCGCCUCAAAAUUAUUGGCGGCCGGUACAUUGGCUUCGAGCGCAGCAGAAACGCGAACUCGGGCCCGUCGUAUUGGCUCCCAGAAGCUAUCUUCACAAUUUUGACCUCGGAUCAGGUAGGGAUACCCGCUGAACUUAAGCAUAUCAAUAAGCGGAGGA
RNAcentral lists this unclassified non-coding RNA (331 nucleotides) under soil metagenome. Its description in RNAcentral is "partial contains 5.8S ribosomal RNA, internal transcribed spacer 2, and large subunit ribosomal RNA". The stretch from base 5 to 119 matches the Rfam family "5.8S ribosomal RNA", at positions 40 to 154 of the family's 154-position model. The record is from RNAcentral.